Molecule: ribosomal RNA, 235 nt
Filed under: Alphaproteobacteria bacterium
Lineage: Bacteria; Pseudomonadati; Pseudomonadota; Alphaproteobacteria
Description: partial 23S ribosomal RNA
Rfam family: Bacterial large subunit ribosomal RNA
Source: RNAcentral
GAGAGGACCGGGGUGAACGAACCACUGGUGGAUCUGUUGUGGCGCCAGCCGCAGUGCAGAGUAGCUACGUUCGGACAGGAUAACCGCUGAAAGCAUCUAAGCGGGAAGCCCCCCUCGAAACAAGGUCUCCCUUGAGGGCCGUGGUAGACCACCACGUCGAUAGGUCGGAGAUGUAAGUGCAGCAAUGCAUUCAGUUGACCGAUACUAAUUGCCCGAUAGGCUUGAUUUGAUCCAG